This 496-nucleotide long non-coding RNA is filed under the name Equus caballus (horse). RNAcentral describes it as "lncRNA (ENSECAG00000045525.1)". Lineage: Eukaryota; Metazoa; Chordata; Mammalia; Perissodactyla; Equidae. The record is from RNAcentral.
AGGGUGCAAGGACACACACAAAGCCUGAGUCCCUUAUGCGUGUCUACAUGCCUAAUAUGUAUUAAGCAAAGAAAAAAACCAGACUACUAAGUUUUUCUGACAAGAAGAUGAUAACUGAGAAUUCUACAAGCUUGAAAUAUUACUAUGACUUCCCUGGAAUAUGAAGAUAAAAUCUAAUCCCUGGAAGAAUACAGUGAAACACGUAAGGAGCAACACAACUGUUGAUGCUGUGCUUGAAAAAGUUAUUUCAACCGCAAUUAGACAAUGAGUUGUCUUUCUCCCAGGACCAUGGACAGCACAAGGGUGACGCGAGCAUGAUUAUUAAAGCAUGUCUGGCUUUCUUCUCAGCUCUACUGCAAGUUAGUCAGUCAUGGCUACAAAGAAGUGUGUUGGGUUGCCUCUUGACCUUCAGUUGUUUACUGUAAUUUACAGUAAUAAAACAUAAACAUAUUUACAUAUAACGUAAAUUAAUUUAUUUUGUGUCACGUGACUUGAC